This 3013-nucleotide long non-coding RNA is filed under the name Sus scrofa (pig). Its description in RNAcentral is "lncRNA (ENSSSCG00000055712.1)". The record is from RNAcentral. Lineage: Eukaryota; Metazoa; Chordata; Mammalia; Artiodactyla; Suidae.
AGAAAAAGAGAAAAGAAGGAAAGAAAGAAAGAAAAAGAAAGAAAAUCUAUAUGUGUAAGACUGAGCGGCUUUGCUGUACAGCAGAAAUUGGCACAACAUUGUAAAUCAACCAUAAUAAAAAUUUCGUUAAAGAGCUGCUGGAGUUAUGAAGAAAGGGAGCCUGAGCGACCGAGUGGCUGAGAGGGGGACAUUGUCAUCUAGGAGAAGGAUGCACUGGGACUCGGAGAAUGGAGCCAGAGCCCAGGCGAGAGCAGAAGGGCUGCAGAGCUGGGGCCGUGGGGUAGGGAGGAGAACGGCCAGCACCCCUCUAAGCUGUGUCCCUAUCUGGGUGGGUCUGGGUCCCUCUCUGGGUGGGUCUAGGGCGGGUUUCUGCAUCUGCCUGGAGUCCCACCCCUGCGUGUCUGCUCAGAAUGGCCUACACUUAGUUUAAUGCUCUGCUGUCACCGCCUGGAAAUUCUGAGCAAGGGGCCUGUCACUUUUAUUUUGCACCGUGUCCCACAAGCCGCAUAGCCAGUCCUGGGGGGGCAGCACUGGGGAUUUCAUCCGCAUGGGCCAGAACGAGCAGCCCGGACUCACGGGGGCCGGACCUCCACAUCUGCCUGGGGAGCCAGGAAAAAGGAAUUUUCCAACUAUCACCAUCGGAGCAAUUUCAAAGGCAACAUUCCAUUAGCAAAAAGAUGCCACUUAAAGGUCCAUGCAGCAUCAGGGCCCUUCUGGCAGGACAGGGUGCUAAGCUGGCGGUAGACGCCCUCUUCAUCUACAUUUGAAUGGGCUUCUUUAGAAAGAGUCUCAGCGAGUCCAUCCUUCCCAGCGAAAUCCCCGAAAGAUAUCUUAACAAGGUCAUUGCUUUUUUAAUUGUUUGUUUUAAGGCCACACCUGCGGCCUAUGGAAGUUCCUGGGCUGGGGAUUGUGUCCAAGUCACAGCUGUGACAACUGGUCGGAUUCUUUAACCCCCUGAGCCGGGCCAGGGAUUGAACCUGCACCUCCUCGGCGACCUGAGCGGCUGCAGUCAGGUUCUUAACCCACUGUGCCACAACAGGAACUCCCAACAAGAUCGAAUUUAAGUGACACUUAAUAAAUUGAUAUAAAAGCAUAUAUUGGGGUCUACUUUAUUUUUCUUUGCUUUUUGUUAUUCAAUUCUUGGCAUUUAAAGCGAGGAAUUUAUUCUCUUUCUACAACAUUAUGGCCGUGAGAAGGAAAGAGAUAAUGGCUUGAAUCGCAGCAUGAACAAUUAAGGCUAAAUGCCUUCAAGGUAAUUUGAACUUUCAAAAUCAUUAGAAAGAUAGAAAAACUCUAGAAGACUCACUGUUUCUUGUACAUCCAGUGUCUCACAAACGCAAACAUUCCCACCAACCUAAGCCAAAUAGGCCCGUUUCUCUUUCUUUUUCUUUUUUCUUUUUGCCUUUUAGGGCCGCACCUGUGACAUAUGGAGGUUCUCAGGCUAGGGGUUGAAUGGGAGCUGUAGCCACCUACCUACACCUCAGCCACAGCCACACAAGAUCUGAGCCUCCUCUGCAACCUAGCCCACAGAUCACGGCAACCCCAGAUCCUUAACCCACUGAGCGAGGCCAGGGAUCGAACCUGCAUCCUCAUGGAUACAUCGGGCUUGUAACCCGCUGUGCCACAACGGGAACUCCCACGUUUCUCUUUUUCCUCCCAAGUACAGUCUAAGUAAACAAAGGGCACAAAUAUUUUUACCACGUAGGUAAAAACCAUUUCGCCCAGCACAGUGUUAAAUCAAUAUUUGUGAGUGAAUGAGUGAAACGUAUUUGGCUAAAAAUGUAGGAGCUUUUCCACGGUUUCCGUGCCAAAUGUUGAAGGGAUUUCCCAGGAUUGGUUAACAUGGUGACUGUUGGAAUAGUGUCAGUGUGUCUGUGGGUCCACAUAGAAAUACCCUCUGUGUACACACAAAGAAGAGGAAAAACCUCAGAGAGAAAAAUGUGCAGGGCGGACAUUCAGGGAAGAGAAGAAAGAAGAAAAUUUACUCUUUGGUAUGUUCAGCUUCACCUUUUUGCUUCAUUGCCCCCCACCCCCCUGCUCCCACCAAUCUCCUUUCCCUAAAACCACAUCUCUUUCUAGUUUCCCAUUUCCCAGGGCCCCUGCUUUCUUCUGCUUCUUUUCUAGUGAAAUCUAUAAAUAGCAACAUACCUAUAAACUUACUCAUACUAAAGUAUGAAUGGUUGCUACCAUUUUUUGAAUGGGCUCUCUGAAUGAGCGUAUUUAUAUUUUAAUAGAGAAUAAAGGAGUGGCUUACACCUGGCAUUGCCAGAAUUAAGGAAUGCCAGGGAGGUGUCUGGGCAGAGGGAGGUGGGGCCGGAGGGACAUUUCUGGUAGAAGGGACCUUGCUUUAAAAACAAGAAUCAGGGAGUUCUCGUCGUGGUGAAGUGGUUAACAAAUCCGACUAGGAACCAUGAGGUUGCCGGUUCGAUCCCUGGCCUUGCUCAGUGGGUUAAGGAUUCGGUGUUGCCGUGAGCUGCGGUGUAGGGUCACAGAUGUGGCUUAAAUCCCACGUGGCUGUGGCUGUGGUGGAAGUUGGCAGCUACAGCUCCAAUUUGACCCCUAGCCUGGGACCUUCCAUAUGUUGCAGGGGUUACCCUAAAAAGACAAAAAAUAAAAACACAAACAAGAAUCAUUUUUGUUUGAAAUAAAAUAACUGUUCAAUUGGGGGGCAUUCUCAUAAGAACUGCCAUAACUUUUCUUCUUUUUUGCCCGCCCCUAAAUGAACUGAAUGUACAUUGAGAGGGACAGACGAGGAAAAGAGACAGAAAGAGACAGAGAAAAAGAGAGGAGAGAGACAAGCAAGCAAUACAGGAUCUGAGGUGAUUGAUCUGAUUGAAAAGCCACGUUCGGGAGUUCCUGCUGUGGCACAAGGAGAUUGGUGGCUGGGACACAGGUUCGAUCCCAGGCCCUACGCAGUGGGUUAAAGGGUCCAGCGUUGCCGCACCUGGGGGUAGGUCACACCUGGGGCUCAGAUCUGAUCCCUGGCCCAGGAACUCCAUAUGCCACAGUGAGG